RNAcentral lists this long non-coding RNA (473 nucleotides) under Erythranthe guttata (spotted monkey flower). Its description in RNAcentral is "long non-coding RNA (EGUT_LNC001575)". The record is from RNAcentral. Lineage: Eukaryota; Viridiplantae; Streptophyta; Magnoliopsida; Lamiales; Phrymaceae.
AAUCAAAAGUAAUCCAUUUAUUAAAAUCCACAAUUAAUUCAAUGUAUUUUCAUGAGUUGCCAACAAAUGGUCAACUAGUAUUCAGUGACAAAUAGACAAAACAUACAAGAGUCCUAUGACUAAAUCGCAUAUUGGCAAGUUGCUUUUAUCCUUUGGAGGUUUUGCUCUUUCUCUUGUGUGAGUUAAGCUUUUCUCCAUGAUCAUUUUUUGAAAUCAGCCUGUUACAAUAAUCACAAAGAUCAAAAAUAGAACGUAUAUAAUAUAACUUGCUCAGAGAUUGGAAGAUCUCUAAAGAAAUUCUCUUAAGUUAAUAGUAACUAACCGAGAAUACCUAAUAAAACAGUUAAAUGUCUAGUGUAAUAUAAAAAACUCACCUUUGAUAAACUCAUGUCUGACAAAGCAUAAACUACUGCCCAAUUAAGCAAUUUUGAGUCUUAUCUUGUGAUCUGCACAAAAGACAAUAUAAAAUUACU